CCUACGGGGGGCAGCAGUGGGGAAUAUUGGGCAAUGGGCGCAAGCCUGACCCCGCAACGCCGCGUGAAGGAAGAAGGCUCUCGGGUUGUAAACUUCUUUUAUCAGGGACGAAGCAAGUGACGGUACCUGAUGAAUAAGCCACGGCUAACUACGCGCCAGCAGCCGCGGUAAUACGUAGGGGGCAAGCGUUAGCCGGAGUUACGGGGUGUAAAGGGCGUGUAGGCGGGAAAGCAAGUCAGAUGUGAAAACCAUGGGCUCAACCUGUGGCCUGCAUUUGAAACUGUUUGUCUGGAGUACUGGAGAGGCAGACGGAAUUCCUAGUGUAGCGGUGAAAUGCGUAGAUAUUAGGAGGAACACCAGUGGCGAAGGCGGGCUGCUGGACAGCAACUGACGCUGAGGCGCGAAAGCGUGGGGAGCAAACAGGAUUAGAUACCCCAGUAGUC
RNAcentral lists this ribosomal RNA (443 nucleotides) under uncultured bacterium. RNAcentral's name for it is "partial 16S ribosomal RNA". It matches the Rfam family "Bacterial small subunit ribosomal RNA", at positions 338 to 795 of the family's 1533-position model. The record is from RNAcentral.